Molecule: transfer RNA, 60 nt
Filed under: Cardiocondyla kagutsuchi
Lineage: Eukaryota; Metazoa; Arthropoda; Insecta; Hymenoptera; Formicidae
Description: transfer RNA-Leu
Source: RNAcentral
UAUGGCAGAUAAGUGCAAAGGACUUAAAAUCCUUAUAUAAAGAAAAAUCUUUUAUUAAAA